Molecule: transfer RNA, 85 nt
Filed under: Felis catus (domestic cat)
Lineage: Eukaryota; Metazoa; Chordata; Mammalia; Carnivora; Felidae
Rfam family: tRNA
About the family: Transfer RNA (tRNA) molecules are approximately 80 nucleotides in length. Their secondary structure includes four short double-helical elements and three loops (D, anti-codon, and T loops).
Source: Rfam by way of RNAcentral
GCCUGUGUGGCUCAGUCGGCUAAGCGUCUGACUUCAGCUCAGGUCAUGAUCUCACAGUUCGUGGGUUCGAGCCCCGCAUCGGGCU